AUUGAACGCUGGCGGCAUGCUUUACACAUGCAAGUCGAACGGCAGCGCGGGCUUCGGCCUGGCGGCGAGUGGCGAACGGGUGAGUAAUGCAUAGGAACGUGCCCAGUAGUGGGGGAUAGCCCGGCGAAAGCCGGAUUAAUACCGCAUACGACCUGAGGGUGAAAGCGGGGGACCGAAAGGCCUCGCGCUAUUGGAGCGGCCGAUGUCGGAUUAGCUAGUUGGUGGGGUAAAGGCUUACCAAGGCGACGAUCCGUAGCUGGUCUGAGAGGACGACCAGCCACACUGGGACUGAGACACGGCCCAGACUCCUACGGGAGGCAGCAGUGGGGAAUUUUGGACAGUGGGGGCAACCCUGAUCCAGCCAUGCCGCGUGCGGGAAGAAGGCCUUCGGGUUGUAAACCGCUUUUGUUCGGGAAGAAAUCCUCUGGGCUAAUACCCCGGGGGGAUGACGGUACCGGAAGAAUAAGCACCGGCUAACUACGU
RNAcentral lists this ribosomal RNA (483 nucleotides) under uncultured bacterium. RNAcentral describes it as "partial 16S ribosomal RNA". It matches the Rfam family "Bacterial small subunit ribosomal RNA", at positions 28 to 506 of the family's 1533-position model. The record is from RNAcentral.